UGGCGGCAGGCUUAACACAUGCAAGUCGAGCGGUAACAGAGAGUAGCUUGCUACUUUGCUGACGAGCGGCGGACGGGUGAGUAAUGCUUGGGAAUAUGCCUUUACGUGGGGGACAACAGUUGGAAACGACUGCUAAUACCGCAUAAUGUCUUCGGACCAAAGGAGGGGACUCUUCGGAGCCUUUCGCGUAAAGAUUAGCCCAAGUGGGAUUAGCUAGUUGGUGGGGUAAUGGCUCACCAAGGCGACGAUCCCUAGCUGGUUUGAGAGGAUGAUCAGCCACACUGGGACUGAGACACGGCCCAGACUCCUACGGGAGGCAGCAGUGGGGAAUAUUGCACAAUGGGCGAAAGCCUGAUGCAGCCAUGCCGCGUGUGUGAAGAAGGCCUUCGGGUUGUAAAGCACUUUCAGUCGUGAGGAAGGGGUAGUAAUUAAUACUUACUAUCUUUGACGUUAGCGACAGAAGAAGGACCGGCUAACUCCGUGCCA
This 486-nucleotide ribosomal RNA is filed under the name marine sediment bacterium ISA-1305. RNAcentral's name for it is "bacterial SSU rRNA". It matches the Rfam family "Bacterial small subunit ribosomal RNA", at positions 37 to 510 of the family's 1533-position model. The record is from RNAcentral.